RNAcentral lists this long non-coding RNA (244 nucleotides) under Setaria viridis. Its description in RNAcentral is "long non-coding RNA (SVIR_LNC006658)". The record is from RNAcentral. Lineage: Eukaryota; Viridiplantae; Streptophyta; Magnoliopsida; Poales; Poaceae.
GACUCCAUGAUCCGAAUGCACACGAUGUAUGUCAACACUAUCCUGCAAAAGAUUAGAACUAACCAAAGACAAUGCAGGAAUAGAUGGUCUAGCAGACAUAGGUAGCAACCAACAAUGCUCCCCUUCUUGGAAGUGAACUUGUUUCUUUGAGGAACAUGAGAAAAUAUUUGUAUUAUUAUGGCUGCCCUCUACACGAUCAUAAUCUUGUACAACAAAAGGAGAAUUCAUAUUACUACGACCACAA